GACGAACGCUGGCGGCGUGCUUAACACAUGCAAGUCGAACGGAAAGGCCCUGCUUUUGUGGGGUGCUCGAGUGGCGAACGGGUGAGUAACACGUGAGUAACCUGCCCUUGACUUUGGGAUAACUUCAGGAAACUGGGGCUAAUACCGGAUAUGAGCUCCUGCUGCAUGGUGGGGGUUGGAAAGUUUCGGCGGUUGGGGCUGGAUUCGCGGCUUAUCAGCUUGUUGGUGGGGUAGUGGCUUACCAAGGCUUUGACGGGUAGCCGGCCUGAGAGGGUGACCGGCCACAUGGGGACUGAGAUACGGCCCAGACGCCUACGGUAGGCAGCAGUGGGGAAUAUUGCACAAUGGGCGGAAGCCUGAUGCAGCAACGCCGCGUGCGGGAUGCCGGCCUUCGGGUUGUAAACCGCUUUCGCCUGUGACGAAGCGUGAGUGACGGUAAUGGGUAAAGAAGCACCGGCUAACUACGUG
RNAcentral lists this ribosomal RNA (468 nucleotides) under uncultured bacterium. RNAcentral's name for it is "partial 16S ribosomal RNA". It matches the Rfam family "Bacterial small subunit ribosomal RNA", at positions 28 to 507 of the family's 1533-position model. The record is from RNAcentral.